RNAcentral lists this ribosomal RNA (747 nucleotides) under uncultured bacterium. Its description in RNAcentral is "bacterial SSU rRNA". It matches the Rfam family "Bacterial small subunit ribosomal RNA", at positions 8 to 760 of the family's 1533-position model. The record is from RNAcentral.
AGAGUUUGAUCAUGGCUCAGGACGAACGCUGGCGGCGUGCCUAACACAUGCAAGUCGAACGGGACUGGGGGCAACUCCAGUUCAGUGGCGGACGGGUGCGUAACACGUGAGGAACAUGACUUUCGGUGGGGGAUAGCCGGCCCAACGGCCGGGUAAUACCGCGUACGACCUCUCGGGGACAUCCCCGGUUGGUGAAAGCAGCAAUGCGCCGAAAGAGUGCCUCGCGGCCUAUCAGCUAGUUGGUGGGGUAAUGGCCCACCAAGGCGACGACGGGUAGCUGGUCUGAGAGGAUGGCCAGCCACAUUGGGACUGAGACACGGCCCAGACUCCUACGGGAGGCAGCAGUGGGGAAUAUUGCGCAAUGGGCGAAAGCCUGACGCAGCGACGCCGCGUGUGGGAUGACGGCCUUCGGGUUGUAAACCACUGUCGGAAGGGACGAAUGCCCCGCAAGGGGAGUGACGGUACCUUCAAAGGAAGCACCGGCUAACUCCGUGCCAGCAGCCGCGGUAAUACGGAGGGUGCGAGCGUUGUCCGGAAUCGCUGGGCGUAAAGGGCGCGUAGGCGGCCUGAUAAGUAGGGGGUGAAAUCCUGCGGCUUAACCGCAGGGCUGCCUUCUAAACUGUCGGGCUCGAGCACAGUAGAGGCAGGUGGAAUUCCCGGUGUAGCGGUGGAAUGCGUAGAGAUCGGGAAGAACAUCAGUGGCGAAGGCGGCCUGCUGGGCUGUUGCUGACGCUGAGGCGCGACAGC